Molecule: ribosomal RNA, 406 nt
Filed under: uncultured bacterium
Lineage: Bacteria
Description: partial 16S ribosomal RNA
Rfam family: Bacterial small subunit ribosomal RNA
Source: RNAcentral
AUUGAACGCUGGCGGCAGGCUUAACACAUGCAAGUCGAGCGAGCGGCGGACGGGUGAGUAAUAUCUCGGAACCUGCCUGGUGGAGGGGGAUAACUACUGGAAACGGUAGCUAAUACCGCAUACCAUCAGAUGUGCCCAUAUGGGAUUAGCUAGUUGGUGGGGUAAUGGCUCACCUAGGCGACGAUCCCUAGCUGGUCUGAGAGGAUGACCAGCCACACUGGAACUGAGACACGGUCCAGACUCCUACGGGAGGCAGCAGUGGGGAAUAUUGGACAAUGGGCGCAAGCCUGAUGCAGCCAUGCCGCGUGUGUGAAGAAGGCCUUCGGGUUGGAAAGCACUUUCAGCGGGGAGGCGUUACUCGCAGAAGAAGCACCGGCUAACUCCGUGCCAGCAGCCGCGGUAAUAC